GAUGAAGAACGCAGCGAAAUGCGAUACUUGGUGUGAAUUGCAGAAUCCCGUGAACCAUCGAGUCUUUGAACGCAAGUUGCGCCCGAAGCCUCGGCUAAGGGCACGUCUGCCUGGGCGUCACGCAUCGCGUCUCCCCCAAACCGCCAAGGCGGAGGGGAAGGAAGAUGGCUUCCCGUGCCUCACCCGGGCGCGGUUGGCCUAAAUUUGGAGCCCGCGGCACUUAGCUCUCGCGGCGAUAGGUGGUGAACAAGGCCUUGGCCGUGCAAACAACCCGCUGCGAAGCUCUACGUCACGUGCGCUCGUCGGACCCUUUGAAGUUGCCUUCGGUGACUUAAAACCUUUGCGACCCCAGGUCAGGCGGGGCUACCCGCUGAAUUUAAGCAUAUCAAUAAGCGGAGGA
RNAcentral lists this unclassified non-coding RNA (400 nucleotides) under soil metagenome. RNAcentral describes it as "partial contains 5.8S ribosomal RNA, internal transcribed spacer 2, and large subunit ribosomal RNA". The stretch from base 1 to 120 matches the Rfam family "5.8S ribosomal RNA", at positions 35 to 154 of the family's 154-position model. The record is from RNAcentral.